This 66-nucleotide transfer RNA is filed under the name Buddleja auriculata. Its description in RNAcentral is "tRNA-Gly". It matches the Rfam family "tRNA". From Rfam's summary of the family: Transfer RNA (tRNA) molecules are approximately 80 nucleotides in length. Their secondary structure includes four short double-helical elements and three loops (D, anti-codon, and T loops). The record is from RNAcentral. Lineage: Eukaryota; Viridiplantae; Streptophyta; Magnoliopsida; Lamiales; Scrophulariaceae.
GCGGAUAUGGUGGUAAAAUUUCUCUUUGCCAAGGAGAAGAUGCGGGUUCGAUUCCCGCUAUCCGCC